GAACGAACGCUGGCGGCAUGCCUAACACAUGCAAGUCGAACGAGACCUUCGGGUCUAGUGGCGCACGGGUGCGUAACGCGUGGGAACCUGCCCUUAGGUUCGGAAUAACUCCCCGAAAGGGGUGCUAAUACCGGAUAAUGUCUUCGGACCAAAGAUUUAUCGCCUUUGGAUGGGCCCGCGUUGGAUUAGCUAGUUGGUAGGGUAAAAGCCUACCAAGGCGACGAUCCAUAGCUGGUCUGAGAGGAUGAUCAGCCACACUGGGACUGAGACACGGCCCAGACUCCUACGGGAGGCAGCAGUGGGGAAUAUUGGACAAUGGGCGAAAGCCUGAUCCAGCAAGGCCGCGUGAGUGAUGAAGGCCUUAGGGUUGUAAAGCUCUUUUAACCGGGAUGAUAAUGACAGUACCGUGAGAAUAAGCUCCGGCUAACUCCGUG
This 434-nucleotide ribosomal RNA is filed under the name uncultured bacterium. Its description in RNAcentral is "partial 16S ribosomal RNA". It matches the Rfam family "Bacterial small subunit ribosomal RNA", at positions 27 to 507 of the family's 1533-position model. The record is from RNAcentral.